Molecule: ribosomal RNA, 241 nt
Filed under: uncultured bacterium
Lineage: Bacteria
Description: partial 16S ribosomal RNA
Rfam family: Bacterial small subunit ribosomal RNA
Source: RNAcentral
GCAAGUCGAACGCGAAAGUCGCCUUCGGGUGGCGAGUAGAGUGGCGGACGGGUGAGUAACGCAUGGGAAUCUACCUUACAGUGGGGGACAACCCGGGGAAACCCGGGCUAAUACCGCAUACGACCUACGGGUGAAAGGGGGCUUCGGCUCUCGCUGUUGGAUGAGCCCAUGUCCGAUUAGCUAGUUGGUGAGGUAAAGGCUCACCGAGGCGACGAUCGGUAGCUGGUCUAAGCGGAUGAUC